GUCUAUGGCCAUAUUACCCUGAACAAACCCAAUCCUGUCUCAUCUUGGAAGCUAAGCAGGGUCGAGCCUGGUUAGUACUAGGAUGGGAGACCACCUAGGAAGACUGGGUGCUGUAGGUG
Molecule: ribosomal RNA, 119 nt
Filed under: Pteropus alecto (black flying fox)
Lineage: Eukaryota; Metazoa; Chordata; Mammalia; Chiroptera; Pteropodidae
Source: RNAcentral